Molecule: non-coding RNA, 45 nt
Filed under: Schistosoma mattheei
Lineage: Eukaryota; Metazoa; Platyhelminthes; Trematoda; Strigeidida; Schistosomatidae
Source: RNAcentral
AUCCAGCUGACGAGUCCCAAAUAGAACGAAACACGAGCCCUGCAU